CCUAGUCGAGCGAUCGGGCAUGGAUAAUAAACUGGCAUAAAAUUGUACACCGAAGCUAUGGGUAAUAUUUAUAUUACGGUAGGGGAGCAUUCCAGCGGCAGCGAAGUUGUAGCGUAAGCUAUGGUGGAGCUUCUGGAAAAGCAAAUGUAGGCAUAAGUAACGAUAAGGCGGGCGAGAAACCCGCCCACCGAAAGGAUAAGGUUUCCUGAUCAACGCUAAUCGGAUCAGGGUUAGUCGGGGCCUAAGGAGAACCCGAAGGGGAUAUUCGAUGGACAACGGAUUAAUAUUUCCGUACUUUUUAUAACUGCGAUGUAGGGACGGAGUAGUGACACUGCCGCGAUCUGACGGAAUAGAUCGUUGAAGGCUGUAGGUAUAGGACCGGUAGGCAAAUCCGCCGGUCUUGCUAAAGGCUGAUAGUACCGCAAACCUUCGGGGGCGUGGAUAGUGCAGGUAAUCAGACUUCCAAGAAAAACUGCUAAGCUUCAGGUUAUAAAAACCCGUACCGCAAACCGACACAGGUAUCCGGGAAGAGAAUUCUAAGGUGCUCGAGUGAAUCAUGGCUAAGGAACUCGGCAAAAUGGCCCUGUAACUUCGGGAGAAGGGGCGCUGGUAGCAAUAUCAGCCGCAGUGAAAAGGCCCAGGCGACUGUUUAACAAAAACACAUGGCUUUGCAAAAUCGAAAGAUGAAGUAUAAGGCCUGACACCUGCCCGGUGCUGGAAGGUUAAGAGGGGAUGUCAUCCGCAAGGAGAAGCAUUGAAUCGAAGCCCCAGUAAACGGCGGCCGUAACUAUAACGGUCCUAAGGUAGCGAAAUUCCUUGUCGGGUAAGUUCCGACCUGCACGAAUGGUGUAACGAUCUGGGCGCUGUCUCAGCCAUGAGCUCGGUGAAAUUGUGGUCCCGGUGAAGACGCCGGGUACCCGCAACGGGACGGAAAGACCCCAUGCACCUUCACUACAAUUUAACAUUGACAUUGGAUACAGGAUGUGUAGGAUAGGUGGGAGACAGUGAAGCGGCGUCGCCAGGCGUCGUGGAGUCAACGUUGAAAUACCACCCUUUCUGUAUUCGGUGUCUAACCCCGCUGGUCGGGGGACAUUGUUUGAUGGGUAGUUUGACUGGGGUGGUCGCCUCCAAAAAGGUAACGGAGGCUUUCAAAGGUAAGCUCAAUACGCUUGGUAACCGUAUGAGGAGUGCAAUAGCAUAAGCUUGCUUGACUGUGAGGCAGGCAAGCCGAGCAGGGUCGAAAGACGGAUAUAGUGAUCCGGUGGUUCUGCAUGGAAGGGCCAUCGCUCAAAGGAUAAAAGGUACGCUGGGAUAACAGGCUGAUCUCCCCCAAGAGCUCAUAUCGACGGGGAGGUUUGGCACCUCGAUGUCGGCUCGUCACAUCCUGGGGCUGGAGAAGGUCCCAAGGGUUCGGCUGUUCGCCGAUUAAAGUGGCACGCGAGCUGGGUUCAGAACGUCGCGAGACAGUUCGGUCCCUAUCUGUUGUGGGCGUAGGAAUUUUGAGUGGGGCUGACCUUAGUACGAGAGGACCGGGUUGGACUAGCCUCUAGUGAAUCUGUUGUUCCGCCAGGGGCAUUGCAGAGUAGCUACGCUGGGAUUAGAUAAGUGCUGAAAGCAUCUAAGUACGAAACUAGCCACGAGAUGAGAAUUCCAUAUAGGACCGUAGUAGACUACUACGUUGAUAGGUUACAGAUGUAAAGGUGGUGACAUCAAAGUCGAGUAAUACUAAUCAUCCU
RNAcentral lists this ribosomal RNA (1736 nucleotides) under metagenome. Its description in RNAcentral is "bacterial LSU rRNA". It matches the Rfam family "Bacterial large subunit ribosomal RNA", at positions 1144 to 2911 of the family's 2925-position model. The record is from RNAcentral.